UACGUAGGGGGCAAGCGUUGUCCGGAAUCAUUGGGCGUAAAGAGCGUGUAGGCGGCCCGAUAAGUCCGCUGUGAAAGUCCAGGGCUCAACCCUGGGAUGCCGGUGGAUACUGUCGGGCUCGAGUCCGGAAGAGGCGAGUGGAAUUCCUGGUGUAGCGGUGAAAUGCGUAGAUAUCGAGAGGAACACCAGUGGCGAAGGCGGGUCUCUGGACGAUUCCUGACGCUGAGGCACGAAAGCCAGGGGAGCAAACGGG
RNAcentral lists this ribosomal RNA (253 nucleotides) under uncultured bacterium. RNAcentral describes it as "partial 16S ribosomal RNA". It matches the Rfam family "Bacterial small subunit ribosomal RNA", at positions 524 to 776 of the family's 1533-position model. The record is from RNAcentral.